UGGUUGGUAGGAUGUGACCCAUGAGCCAUAGUUUGCCAACCCCUAUUGUAACCACACUGAGCAAAAAAACCUAGAGGGACUACUUCUUUCUAUAAAGUUAGUAUUAUCUGGAUAUCAAACCAGAGAAAGAUAUAGUAAGAAAAAAAAUUACAGAACAGUAUCUCUCAUGAACACCAAUAUAAAAAUUAUAAAAAAUUUUAGCAAACCAAACCCAACCAUAUGUAAUGUAGAUAGUAAAUCAUGGUUAAUCAAGGUUUAUCCUAGAAAUCCAAGAUUGGCUUAGCAUUAAAAAAUAAAUCAAUGUAAUUCUUCCUAUAGACGAAAUAUAAAAAGAGAGGAAAUUCUAAAAUUCCAUUCCUGAGAUUAGUAUAAGAUUGAUAUAGAAGUAGACAAGGAUAACAAACAAAUUAAAGACUAAUUCAAAUCAAGUGUAGAAAAUGAAGAAACAAAUGUUAUUCAGAUAAUAUAAACUUUAAUACAGAAAAUCCAAGAUAAUCUACAAAUCGUACUAAUAAAGAUCAGGAACAUCACUAUAUACAAUAUCAAUGUACAGAAAUUAAAGUCUCUAUACAACAACAACCACAAAUUACUAAAUGUGUUUUUUAAAAUAUCACAUUUACAACAGUAACAGCAGAAUCAUAAUCUUUCAAGGAAUAAAUCUAACAAAGAGCAACAUACCUCAUACAUUAAAAAAUUAUAAAUUUUCUGAAGAAGUAGUUGUUUCCCAAAUUGAUCUAUAAAUUAAAUACAAUUCUAAUAAAAAUUCCAAAAGGA
This 774-nucleotide long non-coding RNA is filed under the name Pan troglodytes (chimpanzee). RNAcentral describes it as "long non-coding RNA NONPTRT005102". Lineage: Eukaryota; Metazoa; Chordata; Mammalia; Primates; Hominidae. The record is from RNAcentral.